This 619-nucleotide ribosomal RNA is filed under the name uncultured bacterium. RNAcentral's name for it is "bacterial SSU rRNA". The stretch from base 1 to 520 matches the Rfam family "Bacterial small subunit ribosomal RNA", at positions 338 to 873 of the family's 1533-position model. The record is from RNAcentral.
CCUACGGGAGGCAGCAGUGAGGAAUUUUCCGCAAUGGGCUAACGCCUGACGGAGCAAUGCCGCGUGGAGGAGGAAGGCCUGUGGGUCGUAAACUCCUUUUCUCAGAGAAGAAGAUCUGACGGUAUCUGAGGAAUAAGCAUCGGCUAACUCUGUGCCAGCAGCCGCGGUAAUACAGGGGAUGCAAGCGUUAUCCGGAAUUAUUGGGCGUAAAGCGUCCUGAGGUGGCUUACCCAGUCGACUGUGAAAGCUCAAGGCUCAACCUUGAAACGGCAGUCGAAACUUGUAAGCUUGAGUACGGUAGAGGCAGAGGGAAUUCCCGGAGGAGAGGUGAAAUUCGUAGAUAUCGGGAGGAAGGCCAAAGGCGAAAGCACUCUGCUGGGCCGAUUACUGACACUGACAGACGAAAGCUAGGGGAGCGAAAGGGAUUAGAUACCCCUGUAGUCCUAGCCGUAAACGAUGGAUACUAAGUGUUGCGCGACUCAACUCGUGCAGUGCUGCAGCUACGCGGUAGUAGUCCGCCGUGGGAGGUAGUGCGUCGCGAAGAGUAGUUAAACGUUAAAGUAGUUAAGUUAGUACGGCGUUGAGACGUUGCCGACGGACGACGACGAGGGAGGUUAGG